UACGUAGGGUGCAAGCGUUGUCCGGAAUUAUUGGGCGUAAAGAGCUCGUAGGCGGUUUGUUGCGUCGGCUGUGAAAUCCCGAGGCUCAACCUCGGGUCUGCAGUCGAUACGAGCAAACUAGAGUGUUGCAGGGGAGACUGGAAUUCCUGGUGUAGCGGUGAAAUGCGUAGAUAUCGGGAGGAACACCAGUGGCGAAGGCGGCUCACUGGACCGGUACUGACGCUGAUGCGCGAAAGCGUGGGGAGCAAACGGG
This 253-nucleotide ribosomal RNA is filed under the name uncultured bacterium. RNAcentral's name for it is "partial 16S ribosomal RNA". It matches the Rfam family "Bacterial small subunit ribosomal RNA", at positions 524 to 776 of the family's 1533-position model. The record is from RNAcentral.